Molecule: ribosomal RNA, 481 nt
Filed under: uncultured bacterium
Lineage: Bacteria
Description: bacterial SSU rRNA
Rfam family: Bacterial small subunit ribosomal RNA
Source: RNAcentral
AGCUAAUAGAUACCCAGGUAGUCCACGCCCUAAACGAUGUCUACUAGUUGUUGGUGGAGUAAAAUCCAUGAGUAAACGCAGCUAACGCGUGAAGUAGACCGCCUGGGGGAGUACGGUCGCAAGAUUAAACUACAAGGAAUUGACGGGGGCCCGGCACAAGCGGUGGAUUAUGUGGAUCAAUUACGAUGCAACGCGAAAACCUUAACCUGGCCUUGACAUGCCACUAACGAAGCAGAGAUGCAUUAGGUGCCCGUAACGGGAAAGUGGACACAGGUGCUGCAUGGCUGUCGUCAGCUCGUGUCGUGAGAUGUUGGGUUUAAGUCCCGCAACGAGCGCAACCCUUGCCAUUAAUUGCCAUCAUUUAGUUGGGCACUUUAAUGGGACUGCCGGUGACAAACCGGAGGAAGGUGGGGAUGACGUCAAGUCCUCAUGGCCCUUAUGGCCUGGGCUUCACACGUAAUACAAUGGUCGGUACAGAGAG